Molecule: long non-coding RNA, 267 nt
Filed under: Lathyrus oleraceus (garden pea)
Lineage: Eukaryota; Viridiplantae; Streptophyta; Magnoliopsida; Fabales; Fabaceae
Description: Pisum sativum (pea) long non-coding RNA (PSAT_LNC034868)
Source: RNAcentral
UUCCCUUGCCUUGGUUGAACUUUUCUUCAGAAGUUGAUCUUUUCUUGAUGUCAGACGGGAUGUUCUUGACAUUAGGUCUACCUCUUUGAUCAAUCUUCUUCACGAACUUGUUGAACUGUCUCCCAAGCAUGGCUAAGGCUUCUGAUAUACUUUCAUCACCUUCAGUAUAUCCUGCUUCUGACUCCUCUUCAGCAUUAGAUACAAAAGCUACGCUUUUGUUCUUCUUUUCAGCAUUCUCACACAAGCCCAUUUCAAAGGUUUGGAGAG